UUAUUCGUAUCAACAAAUCUGUGUACGAGUUAAUAACGCAGCCUGGUUCCCUGCAUUUCAGUGACAGAGAACCAGAAUAAGAUUGUAGGGAAACAAGCCUUGUUACAAGGUUUGAGGGUCUCUGCUAGAAUCAUGUGGACCCCAGUGUAACAAAUCUAUGGAAAGAGAGAAAAUCUCAGCUCAAGGGUCAACAUGUCUUUAUUCCAAGAAAGAGUGUACAUAUGCCAGAAUCAUAUGGACUGCAGACUGGCCCUGGUGAUUCCGUUAAGAGAAAAGAGGAAAAAUCAGUGCUUGUGCUCAUUUGUCAUUGGACAAAGGGUGUAUGCCAGAAUUUUUUCAAGAACAGUCUGAAUCUGACAUGGAAAAAAUGAAGAAAAACAGCCUUCCUGUUUAUAAAUCUACAUUCUGGCAAAGGGAAUGAACUGCAUCAACUCUGCAUAGAACAGUAUCUCUCCCACUGGCACAACA
Saccostrea echinata is the source of this 468-nucleotide long non-coding RNA. RefSeq lists it as uncharacterized. The transcript has 5 exons. Lineage: Eukaryota; Metazoa; Mollusca; Bivalvia; Ostreida; Ostreidae. The record is from RefSeq and is a predicted model, not a curated record.